Molecule: long non-coding RNA, 460 nt
Organism: Rosa chinensis
Lineage: Eukaryota; Viridiplantae; Streptophyta; Magnoliopsida; Rosales; Rosaceae
Exons: 3
Source: RefSeq, a predicted model, not a curated record
UGACCAUCAAUCUUAUUUCCUUUAAGGCCUUUGAACGAAAACUCUUGGUUCGAACAUUUGAGGAGCUACUUCUCUGAGUCUCAACUCCUACUGUAGGAACUGCCCUCAGAUUUCUUUAGUAGAGGAGUUGAGGGGUAUGACUCCUUGGACUUCUCCCAGAAGCUUAGAGUCCUAACUUUCCUUUGUGAUGAGGCCCUUGGCACCAAAUCACUGAGCAAUUUCAUAGAAAGCCAAAAAGAAAUAUUCUCUAAAAGUAAGAUCGCAGCAAAACGAAAGUAUCUGCUGCGAAGGCUAAGGAGAUAAGUAUCAAGCAGCAGUAGAAAGCAGAGGUGGCCGAGGCCAAGGCAGUUACUGCAGGAGACAAUGCUGCUUCAAUUUCUUCAGAUCACGAAUCUACUGUUUCGCGACUGAAGAGUGAAGCAGCUCAAGAUCAUGCAGAGUUGCUUGAAGCAAAAGCCUU